Molecule: non-coding RNA, 901 nt
Organism: Danio rerio (zebrafish)
Lineage: Eukaryota; Metazoa; Chordata; Actinopteri; Cypriniformes; Danionidae
Source: Ensembl
GAUAAACAGCGACAAAGACAGUUGGGAUAAUUUACACGCCACUUACAGCACUAGUAUACAUAUAAAUCUGGGCAAAUUCCUGCACUGUUGCUUUUGCAAAGAUGACAAACACAAGCGCAAAUGCCAUUAUCAUCGAUCUGCGAGCUUUUAUUACGAACUUCCUGAAGCCAACGAUUCACCAGGCUCCCGGGAAAAAUACCCUGAGUGACAAGAGUGGCUUUUAACCUCAGACCCCGAGCUGGAGAAGAAAAGAGAAGGCAACAUCCACAUCAGCCCAGAGCCCUGGUGCAGCUAGAACAUGGACACAAGAGGCAGUGUGUGGAUGGAGACAGCAGACAGACAGUGAACUGGGUCCUUCAUCAGGUUGAAGCUGUCUACACCAGAAGCAUCCACAUUUCUGAGCCAUCACUCACAUGAACCGGUCAACUGUGAGCUUGAGGUUAGAUGACACUUCUACAAAACCUUUGAUCACAACAAAAUUUAAACAUUCAAUUAAUAACAAAUGUCUCUUGUGGAUCAAAUUAGCAUAUUAUAAUGAUUUCUGAAGGAUCAUGUGUCAGUCAAAACUGGAGCAAUGAUGCUAAAAGUUAAGGAUGCAUGAGUAUUCGUCCAUCAAAAAUUAUUGACUGAAAAAACAGCCUACUCCAACAAAAGACCAAAAGGACAUUUCAAUGAAGUUUACUUGUUCCUGGUGCUUGCCAUGCGGUACUGACAUGACAACGCUGGUAAAAUGACACCUCUCAACUCGACUACUGAAUCUAUAAAAUUUUACUGUCAAAAAAUGUGUUUUUUUUAUUGGCUUGCUUUUAAAAAUCUGUAUAAUUUACAUGAUUGGGUUCAAUGUUAAAGUCAUACACAUUUACUAUAUAAUUUAAUAAACUAAUAAAUAUUUAUUACAAGG